Non-coding RNA from Ictidomys tridecemlineatus (thirteen-lined ground squirrel), 318 nucleotides. The record is from RefSeq and is a predicted model, not a curated record. NCBI's taxonomy places the organism in Eukaryota, Metazoa, Chordata, Mammalia, Rodentia, Sciuridae.
GCUCAAGUAGGUGUUGGAGAGAAGCUUGUGAAUGAAAGGGAGGAUAUAGACCUGCUUUCAACUGCACACGGGAUACCCACCCUGCAGCCCCACAAGCUGUUCUCUCAUCUUGCCAACUUCUGGCCUGAGCCCCUCCAAGAGACCCUCACAGAGAAACAGCCCGAGAACCCCCACCUUCCCUGGGAGUGGGGGCAGAAGAGCAAGGAAGAAUGUUUGUGUGGGGCAAACCUGCUGCUGAAGAUCCUUCCCACUGGCCUGAUCUCUGACCUUUCUAGAAAGAUUCUAUACCUCAAGGGCUAGAAAAGAAUGUUUCCCUGA